Molecule: long non-coding RNA, 1753 nt
Filed under: Heterocephalus glaber (naked mole-rat)
Lineage: Eukaryota; Metazoa; Chordata; Mammalia; Rodentia; Bathyergidae
Description: lncRNA (ENSHGLG00000043909.1)
Source: RNAcentral
UCCUAGUCUAUGGCAUAUUGGAAAUGGCAAAAAUAUGAAGAAGAUAAAACGGUCAGUUCUUACCAGAGUUCAGAUGAAGAGAAAAUGGGAAUGAGGAACAAGUGGAACCUCGGAUUUUUAGGGUAGUGCAAGUGCUCUGUAUGAUGCUGUAGUGGUGGAUACACAUCAUUUGUUAAAACCCAUUGAAUAGAAUGAACAAAGAAUGAACUCUAAUGGAAACUGAUUUUAAUUAAUACAAAUGCAUCGAUACUGGUUCAUUGUAAAAAUUUGCCACGCUAAAUACAAGAUUUUGUAAUAGGAAAAACUAAAGGAAGAGGGUCAUGGAACUGGAUCGAACUCGGGUCCUUGCACUUGUGAGGCAGGCAGUGGAACCACUGAGCUAAAUCCCCAGCCUGUACAUGACUUUUUAAAUGGAACCACUUGAAGUUGGAGAAACUGAGGCACAGGAACUCUUCCUGAGUUGAAGAGCUGAUAGAUGGAGAAAUCCUGUUUGGCCUUGCUCUAGAGAGAAGAGAUACCGAGAAAUGCAAUUAGGUGGAGGACCAGUGAAGCACCAGAGGUGUGAGAACGCUUCUGGACCUUCAGCCCUACCCAGGCCCCAGAAGACUGUGUCCACAUAGCUGUCUGUGCCCAUCCCACAGCAGAUGAGUCAUGUUACCCCAUAGAACUACAAACAGAGGAUGGCUACUGUUGCAAACCAUUACAUCUUGAGAUGAACUGCUUUGGAGCAAGGGUAACUGGAGCAGGUAUUCUAGGAGAGAUGCAAAGCAGAAAAAUGAUUCCCAGUCUUCACGGGAAGGCCUUAUUAUUUAAGAUUCCUGUUCAGUGCCUACUUUGAAGGUGCCAGAGAAGCAAGAAGAAUUGAGAGAAAUAAGAUCCCCUCCUUGAUCUUGUGACGGAUCAGGUUCUUGCCCUUUACUUUCUCGGUCAAGCCAAUUUAUGGACUUUCAGUAUUCCUGAGGAAUGUUGAUGGGUCUGGAAGGAAAGGAGUCUAAAUUCAGUGUAACCAAGGGAAUGGUGAUAUGGAUCGCCUCGGGCAACUUUGACUGGGUCACAGACAUUGCAGUGUUCUUAAAAGAACAAUUCUUAAAAGUGAUGAUGAUGGUAAUGAAUGAUGACAAUGACACUGCAAAAGGCAUCACUGCUAUUCUGUCAGCUAUCCACUCUGGCACACAUCACUUCAUUGUGAUGUAGGGUCCAAGGGGGUCUCCUAAGGAGGAGAUGAGGACUUCAACUCACUCCAGGCACAAGUGGCCUCAAAGUGAAAAAGAAGUGAUGCUAGCAAUUCCGAUAUGCCAAAGAGAAACUGUAAAGUGCUUCCUUUAAGUAAAAAGGGUUAUGCUCUGCUAACGCUGCCGGAAAUGACUUGGAUUAAAUGACAUGAAUCGGGAAGCCAGGGCCAUCAGAAGUGGUUUUGUGAAGAAACACAGGGAAGGUCACCAGGUCACUCUCAUCCCUUCAUUCUCUCUCUCUGAAUACCUGAUAGACUGUAAAAUAGAGCUCACCGAACGCACCAAGUCUGUGUGUACUUUCAGUAUCUAAGGAGUAAACACCCUGUGAAGUGUCAGCUGGGACCAGGAGCAUGAUUGCUACCACUGAGGCCCCCACAGAUCCCCUGUCACUGAUGCCUCCGUCCCCCCCGGGGUGCGGAAAACUUCCGUGGAAGGAGCUGUCUAAAGGGAACACGGAGUAAAGAACAUACUAUCCUUGGUCCGAGUUACUCAAAAAUAAAAAAGUUCAAAAAUAUAUAAUG